This 468-nucleotide ribosomal RNA is filed under the name uncultured bacterium. Its description in RNAcentral is "partial 16S ribosomal RNA". It matches the Rfam family "Bacterial small subunit ribosomal RNA", at positions 28 to 507 of the family's 1533-position model. The record is from RNAcentral.
GACGAACGCUGGCGGCGUGCUUAACACAUGCAAGUCGAACGGAAAGGCCCUGCUUUUGUGGGGUGCUCGAGUGGCGAACGGGUGAGUAACACGUGAGUAACCUGCCCUUGACUUUGGGAUAACUUCAGGAAACUGGGGCUAAUACCGGAUAGGAGCUCCGGCGGCAUGGUGGGGGUGGGAAAGUUUCGGCGGUUGGGGAUGGACUCGCGGCUUAUCAGCUUGUUGGUGGGGUAGUGGCUUACCAAGGCUUUGACGGGUAGCCGGCCUGAGAGGGUGACCGGCCACAUUGGGACUGAGAUACGGCCCAGACUCCUACGGGAGGCAGCAGUGGGGAAUAUUGCACAAUGGGCGGAAGCCUGAUGCAGCAACGCCGCGUGCGGGAUGACGGCCUUCGGGUUGUAAACCGCUUUCGCCUGUGACGAAGCGUGAGUGACGGUAAUGGGUAAAGAAGCACCGGCUAACUACGUG